CAGAACGUCGUGAGACAGUUCGGUCUCUAUCUGUUGUGGGCGUAUGAGAUUUGCGGAGACCCGACACUAGUACGAGAGGACCGUGUUGGACAGACCUCCUGUGAGCCGGUUGUACCGCCAGGUGCACUGCCGGGUAGCAGCGUCUGGGUAGGAUAAGUGCUGAAAGCAUCUAAGCACGAAGCCAACUCCAAGAUAAGAUCUCAAUGAGGGCCGUUGAAGACGACGACGUAGAUAGGCUGCAGGUGUAAGCAUGGCGACAUGUUAGCUGAGCAGUACUAAUUGCCCGAAUACUUCGUACAA
This 300-nucleotide ribosomal RNA is filed under the name Muribaculaceae bacterium. Its description in RNAcentral is "partial 23S ribosomal RNA". It matches the Rfam family "Bacterial large subunit ribosomal RNA", at positions 2612 to 2925 of the family's 2925-position model. The record is from RNAcentral. Lineage: Bacteria; Pseudomonadati; Bacteroidota; Bacteroidia; Bacteroidales; Muribaculaceae.